UACGGAGGGUGCAAACGUUGCUCGGAAUCAUUGGGCGUAAAGCGCACGUAGGCGGCCCAGCAAGUCGGGUGUGAAAGCCCUCGGCUUAACCGAGGAAGUGCAUUCGAAACUACUGAGCUUGAAUACUGGAGAGGAUCGCGGAAUUCCCGGUGUAGAGGUGAAAUUCGUAGAUAUCGGGAGGAAUACCGGUGGCGAAGGCGGUUCUCUGGGCCUUACCUGACGCUGAGGAGCGAAAGCGUGGGGAGCGAACAGG
RNAcentral lists this ribosomal RNA (253 nucleotides) under uncultured bacterium. Its description in RNAcentral is "partial 16S ribosomal RNA". It matches the Rfam family "Bacterial small subunit ribosomal RNA", at positions 524 to 776 of the family's 1533-position model. The record is from RNAcentral.